RNAcentral lists this ribosomal RNA (497 nucleotides) under uncultured bacterium. RNAcentral's name for it is "partial 16S ribosomal RNA". It matches the Rfam family "Bacterial small subunit ribosomal RNA", at positions 28 to 507 of the family's 1533-position model. The record is from RNAcentral.
GAUGAACGCUGGCGGCGUGCCUAAUACAUGCAAGUCGAGCGAACAGACGAGGAGCUUGCUCCUCUGACUUUAUCGGCGGACGGGUGAGUAACACGUGGAUAACCUACCUAUAAGACUGGGAUAACUUCGGGAAACCGGAGCUAAUACCGGAUAAUAUAUUGAACUGCAUGGUUCAAUAGUGAAAGACGGUUUUGCUGUCACUUAUAGAUGGAUCCGCGCCGCAUUAGCUAGUUGGUAAGGUAACGGCUUACCAAGGCAACGAUGCGUAGCCGACCUGAGAGGGUGAUCAGGCACACUGGAACUGAGACACGGUCCAGACUCCUACGGGAGGCAGCAGUAGGGAAUCUUCCGAAAUGGGCGAAAGCCUGACGGAGCAACGCAGCGUGAGUGAUGAAGGUCUUCGGAUCGUAAAACUCUGUUAUUAGGGAAGAACAAAUGUGUAAGUAACUAUGCACGUCUUGACGGUACCUAAUCAGAAAGCCACGGCUAACUACGUG